GACGAACGCUGGCGGCGUGCUUAAUACAUGCAAGUCGAACGGAAAGGUCCGGCGCUUGCGGGGUUCUCGAUAGGGGAACGCGGGUGUAAAACGCGAGUAUCCUGCCCUUGACUGUGUGAGAUCACUUCGAAACACGGGCGAAUAUCCCAUAGGAGCUCCGGCAGCACGGGGUGGUAUGGAAAGUGUCGGCGGUGGUGGCUCGUCUCGCGGGUUAUGAGCUGGAUUGUGGGGUAGUGGUUGACCAGGGUUUUGACGGAUAGCCGGCCUGAGAGGGUGACCGGCCACCUUGGGCCUGAGAUACGGCCCAGACUCCUACGGGAGGCAACGGUGGAGAAUAUUGCACAAUGGGCGGACGCCUGAUGCAGCAACGCCGCGUGCGUGAUGACGGCCUUCGGGUUGAAAACCGAUUUCGCCUGUGCCGAAGCGUGAGUGACGGUAAUGAGUAAAGAAGCACCGGCUAACUACGUG
This 468-nucleotide ribosomal RNA is filed under the name uncultured bacterium. RNAcentral's name for it is "partial 16S ribosomal RNA". It matches the Rfam family "Bacterial small subunit ribosomal RNA", at positions 28 to 507 of the family's 1533-position model. The record is from RNAcentral.